Microtus oregoni (creeping vole) is the source of this 1091-nucleotide long non-coding RNA. RefSeq lists it as uncharacterized. NCBI's taxonomy places the organism in Eukaryota, Metazoa, Chordata, Mammalia, Rodentia, Cricetidae. The transcript is spliced from 4 exons. The record is from RefSeq and is a predicted model, not a curated record.
GGGGUAUGGAACCCAGACAUCUUUUUCUUAAGACCGAGAGGACCACGCACCUCAUAUUUACUAUUGUCGAUCCUACGUUGCCCAGCACCUUUCUUUGGCUCUCCUGUUCUGGGACUUGAACCCAGCACCUUAUGUAUGCCAGGCAAGCGCUGUGCCACCAUGCCAUAUCCCACCCUUAUUACUGCUGAAGUCUACUGAACUAGCCCUGAGCCAGGGCCCACCAAGAGCUUCGUAUUCACUUGAGAAAUGAAGACCUUUCCAGAUGAAGAUGGAGACAGCUUCAUUCCCAGAAGAAAUGGCCAAAAGGGAAGAACGUGAGAUGGUCUCUAGGACCCACACGAGGAAACAAGCAGCAGCCAGCACAUGGGCGGCUCUAGAAGAUGGCGUGUCUACCACCUGCACUCUGCACUCUGAAAGGACCAGCUGCUCGGGGGAGGAGGAUGACAUCACCCACAGUGGGCUGAGCCCUCCCACAUCAAUCAUUACUCAAGAAAAUGCCACUUACUACAGACAGUCUGAUGGAGGUGGUCCUCAGCUAAGUGUCCCUCUUCCCAAUGACUCUAGCUUUUGUAGGGUUGUCAGAAACGAACCAGCAAACACAGGCGUAAUGUUUGUUGUCAACUUGACUACAUCUGGAAUUAACUAAAAACACUAAAAUGGAGGGCAUGCCUGUGAGAAAUUUUUGCUUAAUUUGAAGUGGGGAGUUCUACUUCUAAUCUGGAUCUGUGAGGUAGGAAGACAUGCUUUUAAUCCAUAUCUCUUGAGCUGGGAAGACCCACUUCUAAUCUGGGCCAGGUCUUCUUCUGGCAGCUCAUGUAAGGGCAUGGGAGAAGGAAGCUUUGCUCUUGGCCUGCUCGCCCUCGCUCUCACAGGCAAGUCCAUCCUUCACCGCCAUUAGAGCCGAUUUCUUCAGAAUUCCAGGGUACACUGAAGACCAGCUGAGACAUCCAGCUCUGUGGGCCGAGCGACUGAUGGGAUCUUAGACUUUAUGUUCAUAACUGGCCAUUGUUGGAUUAGCUAGACCACAGCCUGUAAGUCAUUCUAAUAAAUCCCUAUCUAUCAUCCAUCCAUCUAUCCAUCUAUUAUCUAUC